AGUGAACGCUGGCGGUAGGCCUAGCACAUGCAAGUCGAACGGCAGCACAGUAAGAACUUGCUCUUACGGGUGGCGAGUGGCGGACGGGUGAGGAAUACAUCGGAAUCUACUUUUUCGUGGGGGAUAACGUAGGGAAACUUACGCUAAUACCGCAUACGACCUACGGGUGAAAGCAGGGGAUCUUCGGACCUUGCGCGAUUGAAUGAGCCGAUGUCGGAUUAGCUAGUUGGCGGGGUAAAGGCCCACCAAGGCGACGAUCCGUAGCUGGUCUGAGAGGAUGAGCAGCCACACUGGAACUGAGACACGGUCCAGACUCCUACGGGAGGCAGCAGUGGGGAAUAUUGGACAAUGGGCGCAAGCCUGAUCCAGCCAUACCGCGUGGGUGAAGAAGGCCUUCGGGUUGUAAAGCCCUUUUGUUGGGAAAGAAAAGCAGCAGGUUAAUACCCCGCUGUUCUGACGGUACCCAAAGAAUAAGCACCGGCUAACUUCGUG
Molecule: ribosomal RNA, 492 nt
Filed under: uncultured bacterium
Lineage: Bacteria
Description: partial 16S ribosomal RNA
Rfam family: Bacterial small subunit ribosomal RNA
Source: RNAcentral